UGGGGAAUCUUGCGCAAUGGGCGAAAGCCUGACGCAGCAACGCCGCGUGGGGGAUGACGGCCUUCGGGUUGUAAACCUCUUUCGACAUCGACGAAGGCCCUUGGGUUGACGGUAGGUGUAGAAGAAGCACCGGCUAACUACGUGCCAGCAGCCGCGGUAAUACGUAGGGUGCAAGCGUUGUCCGGAUUUAUUGGGCGUAAAGAGCUCGUAGGCGGUUUGUUGCGUCGGCCGUGAAAACCUGCAGCUUAACUGUGGGCUUGCGGUCGAUACGGGCAGACUUGAGUUCGGUAGGGGAGACUGGAAUUCCUGGUGUAGCGGUGAAAUGCGCAGAUAUCAGGAGGAACACCGGUGGCGAAGGCGGGUCUCUGGGCCGAUACUGACGCUGAGGAGCGAAAGCGUGGGGAGCGAACAGG
RNAcentral lists this ribosomal RNA (413 nucleotides) under uncultured bacterium. RNAcentral's name for it is "bacterial SSU rRNA". It matches the Rfam family "Bacterial small subunit ribosomal RNA", at positions 355 to 776 of the family's 1533-position model. The record is from RNAcentral.